RNAcentral lists this ribosomal RNA (253 nucleotides) under uncultured bacterium. RNAcentral describes it as "partial 16S ribosomal RNA". It matches the Rfam family "Bacterial small subunit ribosomal RNA", at positions 524 to 776 of the family's 1533-position model. The record is from RNAcentral.
UACGUAGGCAGCAAGCGUUGUUCGGAGUUACUGGGCGUAAAGGGUGCGUAGGCGGUUGUUUAAGUUUGGUGUGAAAUCUCCCGGCUCAACUGGGAGGGUGCGCCGAAUACUGAAUGACUAGAGUGCGGGAGAGGAGAGUGGAAUUCCUGGUGUAGCGGUGAAAUGCGUAGAUAUCGAGAGGAACACCGGUGGCGAAGGCGGCCUUCUGGACAGUGACUGACGCUGAGACGCGAAAGCGUGGGGAGCAAACAGG